RNAcentral lists this ribosomal RNA (423 nucleotides) under Triticum aestivum (bread wheat). RNAcentral's name for it is "partial small subunit ribosomal RNA". The record is from RNAcentral. Lineage: Eukaryota; Viridiplantae; Streptophyta; Magnoliopsida; Poales; Poaceae.
AUGGAGGAAAACAGUUCUGUCAGUGAGCACAUACUCAAAAUGUCUGGGUUGCACAACCGCCUGUCCCAGCUGGACAUUAACCUCCCAGACGAGGCGGUCAUUGACAGAAUCCUUCAGUCGCUCCCACCGAGCUACAAGAGCUUUAUGAUGAACUACAAUAUGCAGGGGAUGGUGAAAACUAUUCCUGAAGUAUUUUCAAUACUGAAGUCAGCAGAGGUAGAAAUCAAGAAAGAACAUCAAGUGUUGAUGGUCAAUAAAACCACCAAGUUCAAGAAGGGCAAGGGUAAGAAGAACUUCAAGAAGGACGGCAAAGAUGUUGCCGCACCCGGUAAGCCAGUUGCCGGGAAGAAGUCAAGGAAUGGACCCAAGCCUGAGACUGAGUGCUUUUAUUGCAAAGGGAAGGGUCACUGGAAGUGGAACUGA